RNAcentral lists this ribosomal RNA (328 nucleotides) under uncultured Bacteroidota bacterium. RNAcentral describes it as "bacterial SSU rRNA". It matches the Rfam family "Bacterial small subunit ribosomal RNA", at positions 28 to 351 of the family's 1533-position model. Lineage: Bacteria; Pseudomonadati; Bacteroidota. The record is from RNAcentral.
GAUGAACGCUAGCGGGAGGCUUAACACAUGCAAGUCGAGGGGCAGCACGAGGUAGCAAUACUUUGGUGGCGACCGGCGCACGGGUGAGUAACGCGUAUGCAACCUACCCUGUACAGGGGGAUAACCCGGAGAAAUUCGGACUAAUACCCCAUAAAGAUAUUUGGAGGCAUCUUUGAAUAUUUAAAGUUCCGACGGUACGGGAUGGGCAUGCGUGACAUUAGCUAGUUGGUAGGGUAACGGCCUACCAAGGCUUCGAUGUCUAGGGGUCCUGAGAGGGUGAUCCCCCACACUGGUACUGAGACACGGACCAGACUCCUACGGGAGGCAG